Gallus gallus (chicken) is the source of this 5034-nucleotide long non-coding RNA. RefSeq lists it as uncharacterized. Lineage: Eukaryota; Metazoa; Chordata; Aves; Galliformes; Phasianidae. The record is from RefSeq and is a predicted model, not a curated record. The transcript is spliced from 2 exons.
GGCCCCCCGCGGCGGGACGGGGCCGCGCAGGUGGCAGCGCCCCGCGGGCGGCUCCGCGGAACGCCCCGCGGCGGGAGGGGGGAACGCAGCGUCGGCAUCUGCCGCCAUCGGGCCGUGCCCGGGCAAAGAACCGCGGACGCGGGGAUGGGGAGCCCGUGGGCAGCUCCGGUAGCGCAACGCGGGCCACGCACCCCUCGCACCUUCUGUUCCCAGUGGAGUGCUGACACGAGGAGCGCUGGCUGAGUACGCUGGCUGAAAGCAGGGCCGAGAGAGCUGCUGAGAGCCGCCGAGCGGUCGCGUGUUUCUUGUUCCUAAGGGUUCUGCUGCCUUUAGAAGCACCCGUGGGCUCCUCUCCUCAGUCUGCGGCGAGGAGCUGCCCACAGGGAGACACUGAAACCCAGCACUCGCCGUCUAGGAAUGAGGGCUGGGGGCAGCUCGUUGCUGCGCCAGGGAGAGGUCAGGAUCCCUCCUCUCGAUGGGUUCAGCGUCCCUUUGUGGGAUUGUUUUAUGAGAACGAAAUCGGGGUCAAGAAUUUUGGCUGUGCCUUCUCUUACAUGUCUCAUCGCCAAUGGGCGCUUCUCUGCUUCAGCAGACACACGGGAGGGAAGGAAGGAAGGAAGGAAGGAAGGAAGGAAGGAAGUGUUGGGACGCCUUUUGCACAGCGCUGCUGAUUUGUCUUGAAGAAGAGGCUGCUCUGGACAGCCUGGAGAGCAGCCGGGCUGCUUCUGCUGUGCGCAGCAGGGACCGAGGCGGGGCAGCCACCUCCCGCUGACAGCUGCCUGCCGUGCGCAUUUGCCGUGCGCUCAGAUGGAACAGAAACAAGGCAUAAAGAACAGAGCUUCCCAAGGAGGAAAAAAAUAUAACGCCCAAAUCCCAAAGCGAGCUGGUUGAAUUCUAGGCAGCCUGAUGUAGCCGUGGUGUUCCUGUUCAUUGCAGGGGAGUUGGACUAGAUGGCCUUCAGAGGUCCCUUCCAACUCUAUGGAUUCUACGAUUCUUCCCAUACGAAUGUUUCGGAGUCUCUUGGCCCCAGUUUGUCGAGGUUCCCCAAUUUUCUUAGCAAGCGCAUUUUCAGAGAAAACCUGAAAACAAAUCUUCUUGACUUCUUAACAGUUGUGUUUCCUUUGUUUCUGGUUUCCAUAGGUGUACUGAUAGAAAGAGCUUUCCUUUUUUAUGAGGGCUGCUCCAAAAGUAAUGCCUUCUAUCUUAUAAUGUUGGCCCACAGUGUCAGAGGCAGAUACUGGUGGUGUGGCAGUAGAGGUUGAACCUUCCCCCCAAAUAUUCCACUCGGUUUGCAGAGCACUUCAGCAUGCUGGUGGUGAGUGUUGCUCCUGCUGCUGUAGUGACAGCCCCUCUGCUGGGUUACCUUUGGGACAGGUAGGCUCUGCACAGGGGCUGGGUGCAGUUAUGAUGCCUGGAGGUGGAGAGAAGAGGAGCUGACAGCUUCAGGCCGGGCUGAGGCAGCAGAGCUCAAUGUUAUACACGGGGGCUUCUCCAGCCCCAGAGCAGCUUUCCUUCUUUCAGAGAGGUGUCAAAUACGGCUGCCUUCUGGCAACACAAAUUGGGUGUCUAUGGAGUUUAAUUGUAUCGUGUUCUUUACUCUCUGUCUGCUGAAGAAGGUAAACAGCACAAACAAGAAGUGUUCGGAAACAAAGAGCAAGCUGUCUGCCGCUCAGCCCGCGCUGCUUUCCAUGAAGAAUGAGUGCUAUUAUUAUUCUUUUACAAGUUUCCUUCUAAGGGAAAUAAACACCAAAGGUAGGAUUCCAAGGAAAUGACUCACAAAUAUUGGCAGUGGGCUCUGAAAAUUGGAUCCAGUCUUUGCAGAAGCCCUUAGCAGAACGCUAACCCCUCUCAUUGCAAAAUAAACUCCCAUCCAUGCCACACAGCAGCUCUGAUGUGUGUGUGAAGGGUGGAUGGGGAUGCCACGGCCCUUUUUUUUUUUUUUUUUUUUACUUUUUCCCAAUCCCCUGACAUUGCAUGGGAUGUAGCGUCCAGUAUCUGUGCUCAGCCACCAAGCUGCCCUCCCAGGUGUGCAAAGGUAACCACACACUGCGCCUCACAUUGUAGUUCUUAAUCAGGGACCCCAGGAACCAGGAAAGCAGGCACUAAAGGAUCAGACAGCUGAGCAGAGGCAGCCUGGCUGCAAUACCAUCUGCAAACAGAACCGUCUACUUAGCAUAUUUAUUUCUCAGCUGUUUAAGAUUUUGAAUCAUAAAUGCAUUCUCCGCAUCCCUUGUAAUGCACACGUUCAAAGGCUUCAGUGCUCUCUCAUGUUACUUUUGGGGUUUUGUUUGUUUGUUUUGUUUUUGGCAAUGUAAAUCUGGGUAGACGAGCAACGAAAAUUGCGUCUCUCACACGGAAUUCCUUUGCAGCUCAGUUCUGCUUAGACAGAGCCUUCAGAUUAAAGAAGAUUAAAGAUCAUUACCUUUGCAAACUCCUAUUUAAUCACUCCAAACUGAGAUGAAGCAAACGGGGACUCUGGCAUGGAGUCAGACUUUUUCAGACAGUACAGCAGCACAGCGGGACCGUGCAGAUUCCGUACUUCUCUAUGCAUUGCCACAAUUACCAUCAUCUUUCCUGCUUUGUGAUACACUUGUAGAGAUAUUAUCCCUGCAGUCUGUGGGCCAUCCACGGAGUUCACUGAGUCCCUGACUUUGGCCUCCAUCUGUCAUAAGUGUCUUUCAGGGCAAGCAGGAUGAUGCACGGUGUUGGAUUGUUGUACACUGAAUCCAAUUCUGGUUCUAUCAGAAUUCAUUCUUCUUUAACCAAGGUAAUUCUUACUGUAAUGCCAUUGAUAAGGUAUAUAACAAACAUAGAAAUGAUAACACGUAAUAUUAUAUAGCAGCUAAUACCAUACAACUCAAAUUAUUGACUGUUUUCACGCAAUAUCAAAAUAUUGGCAAAUAGAGGCCCGGUCAAUCCAAAGGGAAACAAACCCACAGGGAUACAGCACUGAGAGGCAUCAGUCCAAUCCGGGCACAGCCAGGACUGGGGCCAAGCUCCUAUUGCAGGCCUGGGAGAGGUCUGGACAAGGCCACUGGGGAUCACUCUGAGCUGGAAGGGUCAUUGGCUGUUGAUAACUGGCUCACACAGUUCAUUAUUAAAAGCUGGGGAAACGCACCACACAUGUAUUUAAUAAAUCAGUCUCUACAGGGUACAUCAUCUUAAAAAAGAAAUCCCAACAGCUAGAAGUCUGGAUGCUGAGGAAUAUACCAUUCGAUUACAAAGUAAAUUAUAUGAGCCUUCUGUGUGUGGUUGUGCUCUCGAAAAGCAUCAGUGGCUUCUUACAGCUCUAUGGCAAUGGGAGAGCAAUUUCCUCGCUUAGGGAAGCACAGUAAAUCAGAAGUAAAAGGUUCUUAAAAAAAAUAACUAGGUGGCAAUUCAUAAUCCGAGGGGAGGAAAAUGGGUUAAAAAAAGGUAGAGCACAACCAACGACUGAGAACUAAAUUGGUAGGAGAAAUGGUUCUGGGAGCCAGAGUGGGUCGCAGUAUGUCAAACUGUAGGCUGCAUUUGUUGUCUGAAAUUAUUCCAAAAGCAGAAUUAUUCCAAGAGCGAAGGAUAAAUAUCCUUGAAUAAUCCAAACCAAAAAUGAAAUAUAAAUCAGGAGUAUGACUUUGCUGGAUUCCAGGUCUGUGUCAUCUUGAAAGAAUCAACCACUUGCCCAGGUUCUGCUCCCUGUACGCAGGGAAGGCACUGGGGAAUUUCAGGAGUCAGGCUGGGCACUAAAGCUAAUUUUCUUACUCAGUUUCUAUAGUGUAUAUGCUUUUAAAUAGUUGUGUUUUUUUUCUCCCCGGGUCUGAUCCAGGCAAUACAGAACAUCUGUUUGUUUCAAAGCAUACCUGCAUGAAGGAAGUAAUCAGUAAAGCCCAAGAUGACGUAUCUAAAUGUGAGUGCAGAUUGCAGACCUGGGUUCUGUUCCCCGGGUACCAGGCAGCAGAAGCAGGUUUACCUGUGCCGCCUGGGCAGCUCUGCACACAGGUGUGAGCACUGCAGCCCCAUCCGUGUGCCAGGAGGUACACAUCCACCAUUUUGCAAAUUAUUCUGCAAAAGAUCUGUGAGAUUAAAAAAAAAAAAAAAAAAAAAAAGGAUGAAAAACCCAACAGAUUUGAAUUCAAUGUAGUUCAGUUCAGUUCAGUUUCAUUAAGGGCUUUUCACUUGCUCAGCAGCUGUUUCUUGGCCUUCACAUGAGGGUUAAUACGUGAGGCAGCUACUCCUCCUACAGGUCAGCCACAUUGAGGUCAUGGUUGUGCAGAAAAUGCUCCUGGUGUUUUGGGGGUGUGUUUUUCAGUGCCCAGCCAGGUUAUAGGCAGCCUGGUGUAUUCCUAGAGAGAAUCGAGCAUUUGCUGCUUCCCCAUUGCAGAAGAGAUGAAACCAUGAUCACAAUUGUUUGCAUUCAGUAACAAUCCCAUAAAACAUUUUAUAAGAGAUGGCUCUUUAACCUCAAGGCUUUGGCCGAAUUCCAGCUCAGAAACUAUCUUCCUACAAGUUCUCCCAUUAAACUAGAAGCGAUGUAUUUGUCUCCUCCUUUGAACUGCUCUCAGCAGUGGCCUGAGCUGCUCAGAGCUCUGUAGGCUUCAGCAUCACACCGGCUCCGGUCAGGGAUGGCGUAAGGCCAUCCAUGCACCCACUGGGCACAGGGCUACCUACCCAGGUAGUGCUUGUGAAGUGCUUCAAUACACAAUUACGAAAGGAACCAUUCGAGUGAAAAACAUAACUCCACCUUGUGUCCGGAGAAGAAACCAGGUCGGGUUAUGCACAGUGACCUGCCGAGAAAUCCAUUGACAAAGAGCAUCACCGGGGACAAGCAAAGGCUGAAGGUCUGAGUACAUACCACUGCUCUGUGUUCACAGUUUCAAGAUCCACACUCACAUGAAGACAACCUUUCCAUCUUCAGUGCAAGGCAGAAACAUUUGUCUCACGAUGGUUAUAUGGACUGUGAAUUUGUUGAAUUGUUUUACAGCUUUUGUUCUGAGUGCAGCAUUUUCCAGGGAUGUUUAAUUUGGAUUGCCCAGAAUGACAAUGAACAGUUUAAGUGUA